AUGGAAUCAGGGUACCAUCCGAUACAACGGAAGACCAACUGCUCUAGAUGGUGUGGGGAAAUCUAUGUACCUUUCCCAUUUGGCCUAGAGGGCGAUUGUUCAGCAAGGAUGUCAUUUCAACUCAAUUGCACAAAUUUGUCAAUGUCUGCCCUCCAGUUUCCUCAUGAAUAUGGUACAGGCACUUAUGUAAAGUAUAUAGAUAUCACGGAGGGGCUGAUGAAUGUUACAUACAACUUAUAUGACGAAGGGUACUUUGCGGUGCGAGUACCAAAAGACGGUAUCCUCUAUAUUGGCACUGAGGUUGUAAUACGACAGCAGUGGGUCGUAGCCAAUUUAACAUGCCAUGAGGCACUGGAGAAUAGGACCGGAUAUGCAUGCGUCAGCAUGAAUAGCAUAUGCUUGGGUGUCAACUCCAAAUGGGAAUAUGUUGGUUACCGUUGCAAAUGUGUGGCAGGCUUUGACGAGAAUCCAUAUAUCGUGAAUGGGUGCAAAGGUACACAUUGCAUCUCUAUGCAUCCUCCUAAUAUGCAAACCAUCUCUUUGUUAGGGAAAUGCCAUAAUAAAUGGGUGAUCGCAUACCUUUUCGAGAAGUCAUAUUUUUAUAUCUCAAUGGGCAACUUAAUUACAAUACUUAUAUAUUUUAAUCUUGCAUUAUAUAUACUUAUUGUUGCAGAUGUUGACGAGUGCAAGACACCAGGCACAUGUAAUGGGAUUUGUCAUAACACCGAAGGAAGUCACUAUUGCACCAAAUGUAUCGCCACUGGGAUUGGCGUUGGUUUUGGAGUUCUACUUCUCAUAUCAAUUCUAACAUUAUUCGCCCGUAGAUGGGAAAAAGACAUCAAGAAGAAACUGCGAAGAAAGCAUUUUCGGCAGAACCAAGGUCCGCUCCUUGAACAAUUGAUAUCGUCAGAUGAAAAUGCGAGUGACAACACUAAGAUUUUCUCACUAUUAGAGUUAGAAAAGGCAACAAAUAAUUUUGAUCCCACACGUAUCGUUGGUCGUGGAGGGCAUGGCAUGGUUUAUAAAGGCAUCUUAUCCGACCAACGGGUAGUGGCCAUAAAGAAGUCUAAAGUCAUUGAGCAAGUUGAGAUAAGCCAGUUUAUCAAUGAGGUUGCAGUCCUCUCCCAGGCAGAUCACCGGAAUAUCGUGAAGCUCUUCGGUUGUUGUCUUGAGACCGAAGUCCCACUGUUAGUGUAUGACUUCAUCCCUAAUGGUUCAUUAUUUGAAAUCCUUCAUGCUAGUACCACUGGCAUCUCUAUCUUGUCCUGGGAUGAUUGUUUGAAAAUUGCUGCAGAAGCUGCUGGAGCACUCUAUUACCUCCACUCGGCUGCUUCAGUAUCGAUAUUUCAUCGUGAUGUGAAGUCCACUAACAUACUCUUAGAUGGAAAUUACACUGCAAAAGUUUCAGAUUUUGGUGCUUCAAGGUUGGUUCCUAUAGACCAAACUCAUAUCGUUACAAAUAUACAAGGCACAUUUGGAUACUUGGAUCCGGAAUAUUAGCACACGGGUAUAUUGACUGAGAAGAGUGAUGUCUAUAGUUUUGGUGUAGUACUUGUAGAGUUACUACUCAGGAAGAAGCCUAUUUUUACAACUGACUCUGGGCUAAAGCAAAACUUGUCCAACUACUUCCUUUGGGAGAUGAGGGAGAAACCACUCACAUAAAUAGUAGCUACUGAAGUUCUGGAGGAAGCAACAAUUGAAGAGAUUAAUGAUGUCUCUAGUCUUGCAGAGACUUGUUUGCGACUACGAGGCGAAGAGAGACCUACAAUGAAACAAGUGGAAAUGAAAUUGCAGUAUGUGCGAUCCAAAAGGUUGAGAGCAUGCCAGGUUGCUGUGACAAAUGAAUACAUGCAACCCUUUUUAAGUGGACAAAGCCAAGACACUCUUCCGAUGUUCACUACUCCGAGUGGUAUAGUAGACAGAGUUAAUAUAGCUGCUCAAAGGAACCAAAAUUGCUACAGCUUGGAGCAAGAGUUCAUGGCAUCGGCGACUCUCCCACGCUAG
RNAcentral lists this ribosomal RNA (2004 nucleotides) under Triticum aestivum (bread wheat). Its description in RNAcentral is "partial small subunit ribosomal RNA". The record is from RNAcentral. Lineage: Eukaryota; Viridiplantae; Streptophyta; Magnoliopsida; Poales; Poaceae.